GUGGGGAAUAUUGGACAAUGGGCGAAAGCCUGAUCCAGCCAUGCCGCGUGUGUGAAGAAGGUCUUCGGAUUGUAAAGCACUUUUAGUUGGGAGGAAGGGCAGUAAGUUAAUACCUUGCUGUUUUGACGUUACCGAAAGAAUAAGCACCGGCUAACUUCGUGCCAGCAGCCGCGGUAAUACGAAGGGUGCAAGCGUUAAUCGGAAUUACUGGGCGUAAAGCGCGCGUAGGUGGUUUUGUAAGUUGGAGGUGAAAUCCCCGGGCUCAACCUGGGAACUGCCUCCAAAACUGCAUGACUAGAGUACGGUAGAGGGUAGUGGAAUUUCCUGUGUAGCGGUGAAAUGCGUAGAUAUAGGAAGGAACACCAGUGGCGAAGGCGACUACCUGGACUGAUACUGACACUGAGGUGCGAAAGCGUGGGGAGCAAACAGGAUUAGAUACCCCGGUAGUCC
This 450-nucleotide ribosomal RNA is filed under the name uncultured bacterium. RNAcentral's name for it is "partial 16S ribosomal RNA". It matches the Rfam family "Bacterial small subunit ribosomal RNA", at positions 354 to 796 of the family's 1533-position model. The record is from RNAcentral.